UCUGUGUCGAGCUGCUUUGCUUGAAAGCAGAGCAAAGAACUUUUCUUUCAGGUGCAGUACAAGAAGUCUUCACUUUUUUAUGGAACUCUGCCAUCACUUUAAACUCCACAGCUGUUGGGAUCCAAUGACAGAGGAACAGCAAGGAGUUUUGGCAAACGGCCUGUGUUUGCAUGUACAGAGGCUGCACGCCAGGCCGUCUCUCAGUGGGAUCAGGACGAACAUGGGCCUUCAUUAGCACUCCCUAAUUAGGAACAGAUGCAAUUUACAGCACGGGGCCCACGCCACACAGCACCUCUCUCUCUCUCUCUCUCUCUCUCGUUCUCUGUCUCAUCGCUCUCUCUUCACUGCCUACCAAAGCAGCUUUCUUUUUCCACAUUCCCAGUCUUGUUCUCCUUCGACUCACCUCUUUCUCUUUCAAAAACAUAUUGGUCGUUUUAUUUUUGCAUAAUGCUGAUGUCUGCCAAUGGAUUCAUAGCAUCAAUUAUAAUCAUGUUCUUCUUGCAGGCAGAUACACAUGCCCAA
Clarias gariepinus (North African catfish) is the source of this 522-nucleotide long non-coding RNA. RefSeq lists it as uncharacterized. Lineage: Eukaryota; Metazoa; Chordata; Actinopteri; Siluriformes; Clariidae. The record is from RefSeq and is a predicted model, not a curated record. The transcript is spliced from 3 exons.